Molecule: non-coding RNA, 428 nt
Organism: Drosophila melanogaster (fruit fly)
Lineage: Eukaryota; Metazoa; Arthropoda; Insecta; Diptera; Drosophilidae
Source: Ensembl
AAUUAAGUUCAAUCUUUACCGAGUCGCGAACCAGUAGCUGUAUCUUCUCGGCCAGCAUCCGCUCAAGUCGCCCGUGCCCGAUCCCGAUCCCGGUCCCGAUCCCAAGCCCAACCCCAAGCUCAGGCCCGAUCCCCCUGCUCCAUCUGCUCCUCUCACUGCUGGAGUAGCCAAACUCCAUUAACUUUGCAAUUGGCCACCAUAACUCGUCCGUCGCACCACCUUCCACCCGACCGACCGACCGGCUCCCCGUUUGCCCGAUGCCUUCGCCGUCACCUUGCCGCCCAUUUGGUCGCCGCAUCCACAUCCACAUCCACAUGCACCUCUACCUCCGCACAGAGCACAUCCAUCCACAUCCACAUCCCACAGAGCAGCAGGCGAGGUCCAUUCCAUUCCAGUCCAGUCCCGGCCCCAUCGCUUGUUAGUUUUUG